GAGUUUGAUUCUGGCUCAGGAUGAACGCUGGCGGCGUGCCUAAUACAUGCAAGUCGAGCGAGAAGCUUGGAAAUGACGCUUCGGUUGAUUUUCCAAGCGGACAGCGGCGGACGGGUGAGUAACGCGUAGGCAACCUGCCCCUGACAGAGGGAUAGCCAUUGGAAACGAUGAUUAAAACCUCAUGACACCGUAGUAGCACAUGCUACAUCGGUCAAAGAUUUAUCGGUCAGGGAUGGGCCUGCGUCUGAUUAACUGGUUGGUGAGGUAACGGCUCACCAAGGUGACGAUCAGUAGCCGACCUGAGAGGGUGAUCGGCCACAUUGGAACUGAGACACGGUCCAAACUUCUACGGAAGGCAGCAGUAGGGAAUCUUGCACAAUGGGCGAAAGCCUGAUGCAGCAACACCGCGUGAAGGAUGAAGGCCUUCGGGUUGUAAACUUCUGUUCUAAGGGAAGAAAGAAAUG
RNAcentral lists this ribosomal RNA (464 nucleotides) under Mogibacterium timidum. RNAcentral's name for it is "bacterial SSU rRNA". It matches the Rfam family "Bacterial small subunit ribosomal RNA", at positions 9 to 456 of the family's 1533-position model. Lineage: Bacteria; Bacillati; Bacillota; Clostridia; Peptostreptococcales; Anaerovoracaceae. The record is from RNAcentral.